RNAcentral lists this long non-coding RNA (5680 nucleotides) under Homo sapiens (human). RNAcentral's name for it is "HSALNT0036649". Lineage: Eukaryota; Metazoa; Chordata; Mammalia; Primates; Hominidae. The record is from RNAcentral.
GCUGGAAAAAUAGAAGCUUCUGGCCCCAGUGUUCUCACGCAUGACCAUAAUAAUUAAAAAGAAGCUUUGGCAGCCACCCCAGAGCAAGCUCAUGAGGAGAGAUGGGUCACAGAGCUGACCAGCAGUUCUGGAGUGAGGGUGGCCCUGGAGAAGCUGAAGUCCCAGGGGACGCCUGCAUCUGCAUGGCAGGAACCAAGUCUGUCAGUGAUUCUCCUCUCCCUCGAAACCAUCACUGCAAGAUCCCGCUCUGCCAUUUACUAGCUGUGUGACUUUAGGGACAACCAAACCAGCUCCUCCUGGAGAUCCCGGCCCCCUCCCUCUGGACAGCUGAACGGAAGUGAAGCUAACACGUCACCAAUUCCCAGACUUAGAUUCUGCAGCCUGGCGCCCCGCAUUGCAACAGCAGAGCCCCCAUGCUGUAGGAGUGACCAGCAUGGGCCCUGUGUGGCAGGAAGGUGAGUCCUCUGGCAGGGGAGGCAGGUGCUGGAAGCCAAGUAGGGGACAGGGACAGAUGGAACCACCUCAGCUUGGGUCCUGCAGCUCACAGCGCUUGCAGAGUGUCCCUGAGCCAUACAGAAGUAGGUGACCACCCACAGUUUGUCAGUGGGUCAUAGUUUGCUGACCUUAGAUGUAGCAAAAGAGACCUAAAUGUGACCCCAGUGUGGUUGCAGGGAGUAACCAGUGAGCACACCCGUGCCAGCGUUCUCCAGAGCACAACCCAUUAAGGGAUCACAAAAGCACGUCAGUGGCUCACCACCAGCAUCUUUUUAAUGAAACAAAGAGAAUGGAUUCUCUCCAGGUUUUUUAUGGCAUUCAUAUGGAUAAGCAUAUAUGCUCUGGGCACCAUGCCAAAUGUACUUCUUACUGAGGACUGGGUGCUAGGCACAGUUUUUGGCUUCUGUAUCCCUCAAAAGAGGUGUUUUCAUCUAUUUUUCAAACAUUCGUGGGGCAUCUGCCUUGAAAGUUUAAGAAUAAGCUCCUUGAGGAACAGGGUCAAGUCCCAGCUUUCCAUUAACUCUGAAACCUACCACCUUGGCACAUGGGCAGGAAGUGAAGGGAAGACAAGGGAGUUUGCUGGCUUCUGAGACAAAUGUAUAUUCCUGGGAGGACCCUGGAGAAGUGAAGAUCUUUGGUAGUACCUCUGGAUGCAUCUCACACUUAUCAUCCCACCAGAAGAUCUUAGAGGCCUCCAGUCUGGAGGUUUCCAGACUGUGCUCUGAGGAGGCCCAGGGUUCCGCAAUGUGCUUCAGGGGUGCCCAGGGAAAGAGGUUCUUGCUUUCCUCUUCUAACUUCAACUGGAGCAGCUUUGCACUUUUUUAUGUAUGUUUUAAGGUGACAUGUAAAUUUCUUCUGUCCAAAGGGCUCCAAUUCCAGAGCAUUGAACAAUCAAAAGGCCUGAAAACUAUCUAUUUUAUUCAACUAAUUUAAACCUAGGAAAACCUCAAAUACCCAAGAAAAGUCAGCAGUGGAUAGGGAGACUGGCCCUCAGACCUCUGCUCCCCACCCUGUUCAGCAGUCCUUUCACCACACUCCGCUGCAGCCCUGCUGAGUCCAAUUCUGCUCUGGGAGCAAUUCCCAGUGGACACGUGGCAGUCCAACAAGACAGUGUUAUAACAGCAGGCUCCAAAUCAAAGGAAAAGCAGAAGACAACACACACUGUUUUAAAUAUCAUAGAGAGACCAUCCCUGAAGUUGUUUAUCGUGAUUCAGACAUGGACAAGCUUUGGGAUCUUGGACAAGUCACUUCACAUCUCUGGACUUUGUUUCUGCAGUCCUCUCUGGCCCUCCGUUCUGAGUCCCCAUGGAUAGAACUGAUCAUCACUAGAGAGAAAGGAGAGCCACAGACCUAAUCUCCCAGGUGUCAGUUAUUAACUCCACCAGUAUAACAUGCCCUCUGAGGAGUGGUGGCAGUGGCCAUCUGCAGUCCACCUCCGCAGCAAGAUGAAGCCUCCUGGAGAAGCCAUGGAGGUGGAGAGAGAUUCAGGCUCCUAACUCGGCCCAGCCCUGCACAAACACAGGGAAACUGCACCUGGGAUUGAAAGCAUUAAUUUAGAAUUUCGUUGUCCUGGGCAUUCCAGCAACUCUGUGAUUCUCUAUUAGAGUUGAAGACACUGAGGCUCUGAGAGGUCACAUAAUUGUCCAAAGGGUGUAAGGGUACGAUGAGAGGGGACAGAGAGAGAGAGAGAUAGAGACAGCAUGCACUUGAGGUUUGAGACCCUCGAGGUGGAAGGACAUGUCAGCUUUAACUUGUUGACUGUCUUCUGUGACAAGAACUUUACAUACUUUAUCUCAUUAAAUCCUCACAAUAGCCAUGCAAUGUAGGUGUCAAAAACCCAUAUUACAAAAGAGUAAAAUGAAGUUGAGACAGGUCAGAGUGAUUCCAGGCACACAGCUGUUGGAUGACAGCACUGGUCUUCUCACUUGCUUUUUCUGAUUCCCAAAUCUUUGAUCUUCCCACUCUCUUGGGAUGCCUCAAGGCUGUGUGGACACACGGCCAGAACAUUCCUCCACUCAAUGUUGUGUAACCACAGGACAAAGAAGAAGACAGUGGCCUUCAACACUUGAUGUGAAAAUGUGGCAUGAGAAGAGCCAGUGAUCAAUCCAAUCUUGAUCAGAAUGUCAUUACCUCUGGUGAGAAAGCCACUGUCUGAGCACCUCUGGUCACCUUAUCCUGUGCCUUGUCAUCAGGUACACGAUAUGUGGGAGAGUCUGGAAUCCUCAUAAGGAAAGGACGGAGGCAGGGCUGUGAUAGAAAGCCCGUCUCCUUCCCUAGCUCUUUGCCUCAAUUAGCUUAAGAUACAAAUAGCCCCACAUAGUCUCACAAAGUCUUUCUACGAGUUGCCAAGUUGCGUUGUUUCCCACGGAACUGUAACAUUUUAUGAAUACAGUUAUUUAUGAGUGGUUCCACCCUAGUGGGAAAAAGAUAGGUUACAGAGUGAAAAGUCUCUUUACCUCUCAACCUUUGAUGCUUCAUUGUCAAAAUGAGGUAACAACCAUAACCUCCGCACAGGAUGGGCAUGAGGAUGCAAUGAAGUGAUGUGUCUGGAUCGUAGAGGUCCCUAUACAAACAUGAUUUCGUUUUAUGACUGCAGGCAGCUCCAGUUAUCCAAUUAAUCUGACGGGGGCUUCCCUCCUUGCCUGAUGGAGUGGUGAGGACAAGGGUCCCUCUAAUCCCAUAGGUAUUCUCUCAUGUAUCCUUGCAGCAGUCCCAUUUACAUACUAACCCCAUUUACAGACAGGGAACUGAAAGUUUGUGAAGUCAAUUAAAUGUAGGGCAAGUGGACUCUGCGCUGUCAGGAAAAGCUCCCAAUCUUGAAAUUACAGCUAGAAGAACCCUGAGAGAGGGGAUGCACACACUGCCACCUUGGCAGGCCUGGAACACGCUCCCGGUGCCCCACUUGGGCCAGUGGGGUGCACUGAGGGUCCCCAGCCUGACAUCCAGCCAGUAUUUAACUCCAAGGAGAGGGAAGCCACAGGGAAGGAUGGGGCCAAGAAAGAAGACACGGGACCUGUUGUAGAAAACCCCACAGACUCAGAAUGAAAUUUUGGCUUUGGUUAUUUUCUGGUGAUCCUCACGCAGAAGGAAUUGGGAAGCUGCUGCUAGCUGGAAGCUGGGGACCCCCACAUCACAGUUCUUAACUCACCUGAUUUAUAAACAGGCGUUCACAUGUACACAAAGCCAAAAGCGGCCUCCCACAAAUCUUCCAGUAAUUGCUCUGUGACCCACAGGGAGGGAAGGCAACAAAGCAAACUUCAAAGGGCCUUUGAAAAAUAACACUGACCACACGCAUUUGAAAAGAGGUCAGUGUGGAUUUGACAAAAGGCCAAAGGACAUUUGAAAACACAGAGAGUGACUAUUUGUUCCAAAACACACAGGGGAGUGUGCCCCGAGGGUCUGUGCGGGUUCUUGAGGUCUGUCUAGGAGAACUGUAGGAUCCUUGUGCUCAGGUGAGUUUCAAUGUUAGGAUGUGCGAUGCAGAGUUCUGUUGAUUACGGAGGGCCCAGUUUCCUAAGGAGGAUGUGAAAAUUAAUUUGAAACUGAAGCUGUGCGCAAAGGUGUCUGAGGUUGUUACAGUCAGAGUUGCCAGCAUUCUAGCUGGGAUCCCAUUAGCAUGUGACAUCAGACAAGUAAUCCAGGCAGCACGCCAGCCUCUCUACGUACAGACGGGAGCCCCUUCACCUCUCAAAGUCAGAUGACACAUGUGGGAUCAUUUCAAGCCUUUCAAUACUUUCGAUGUCAUAUUAUUCAUUUUCCCCUGAUAGCUUUUUUUCCUUGUCUUUAAGAAAAGUCUCAUGAAAAGGGGAAUUUAAAUUCACACGAAAGGAGGGGGCUCUUGGUCAGCUCCUCCUGAGAAACAGAUGACUUGUUUCAGUUCUCAAGGGGCUUUCCUAUUGCGGGAGGUAUCCCCAGUGAUUCCACUCCUUCAUUUCUGAAAAGGGAAAAAAAAAAAAAAAAAAACACCACAGACUUGGCAUUGGACAUAGACUCGUCAGAAAUGGCAUGGCUUUGAGCGUCAGUCAACACGAAUGGUGGCUGCCUUUCAUUUGGAGGCGCCAGCCCCUGAUUUCAACCAAUGCAAGACUCUGCAAAGGCUUUGAGUUUUUAUCAAGAAUACAUAUCAAGCUUUUCACAUUAACCUGACUUUCUACUUUGGGCUCUGGAUGAAAUAGCCAGGGACUUAAAAACUCAGGAAGAGACGGAGCUCUCUCUCUAUCCCAAAAAGAGAAGGGAAGAGGAGCCAUACCCCUCCAAGAAUCCCAGCUAGAGUGGCCGGCCUUGGGUUUGGAAGCCUGCGUCUUACUUAACAUUGUAGAUGUCUCUACCUGUCUUUGCCAUGCAACACUGCACUCCCAGAAAAAUCAAGCACACGACGGAAGGCAAUCACCUGAUCAUCAAUUUACCUACAUGACAGCGUUAAGAAAUAAACCAGAAGAAUAUUUUUCUUACUAUUUGUAGAAAUGAGGAGACAUUGAUGCAAAGGCAGACUGACACUAUUUGAGUUGUAGAAUGGUUAGGGACGUGAGGACGUGUCUCUCAGGCCUCAUCAAGCAGAUUAUUUAGUUUAUUUAUUUAUUUAUUUAUUUAUUAUUUUAUUUUAUUUUAUUUUGUUUUGUUUUAUUUGAGACAGAGUCUAGCUCUGUCGCCCAGGCUGGAGGGCAGUGGCACAAUCUCGGCUAACUGCAACCUCCACCUCUCAGGUUCAAGCAAUUCUCACGCCUCUGCCUUCCAAGUAACUGGGACUUCAGGCGCCCACCACCACACCCAGCUAAUUUUUGUAUUUUUAGUAGAGGCGGGGUUUCAUCAUGUUGGCCAGGCUGGUCUCAUCAGAUAGAUGACAUCAUCCUCAUGGACACAGUGACAGGCCCAGGGAGGAGCACGGGACACAAGCUGAACAAGUCAGACUGUUCCCUGGGCUCUUUCAGCCAGAAAUGUCAGGGGAGGUGAUCUUUCCUCAUGUGGGCUGCUGUGCAAAUAUAAGGUAUGCCUUGAGCUACCAAUGGCUAAUAUGCCUGUCCAAGAAACACUGAGAUAAAACACCCUAAUGGCCCUUGGAUCUAGCCAUGCCUGAAGCUGUUAUCAUCUGUUUCUGAGUCUUACUCAAGCAUUUUAUGAGCCAAUAGGUUCUUUCUUUCCUCUCUCUCUCCCUCUCUUAUGCUACUUUGAGAUAAGCUGUCACUUG